AGAGGAGCCAAGCGUUGUCCGGAUUGACUGGGCGUAAAGCGCACGCAGGCGGUUGCGCGCGUGGGGUGUGAAAUCUGGCCGCUUAACGGCCAGGCGCCAUCCCAUACGGCGCGACUGGAGUGAUGCAGAGGUCGAUGGAAUUGCCGGUGUAGUGGUGAAAUGCGUAGAGAUCGGCAGGAACACCCAGGGGGAAACCAGUCGACUGGGCAUCUACUGACGCUGAGGUGCGAGAGCGUGGGGAGCGAACCGGAUUAGAUACCCGGGUAGUCCACGCCGUAAACGAUGGCCACUCGGCCUUUGGGGGCGGAAUCUCCGUCCGUGGGGGCCUUAGCUAACGCGGGAAGUGGCCCGCCUGGGAACUACGAGCGCAAGCUUA
This 376-nucleotide ribosomal RNA is filed under the name uncultured bacterium. RNAcentral's name for it is "bacterial SSU rRNA". It matches the Rfam family "Bacterial small subunit ribosomal RNA", at positions 527 to 896 of the family's 1533-position model. The record is from RNAcentral.